RNAcentral lists this ribosomal RNA (274 nucleotides) under uncultured bacterium. RNAcentral's name for it is "partial 16S ribosomal RNA". It matches the Rfam family "Bacterial small subunit ribosomal RNA", at positions 523 to 796 of the family's 1533-position model. The record is from RNAcentral.
CUACGAAGGGGGCUAGCGUUGUUCGGAUUUACUGGGCGUAAAGCGCACGUAGGCGGAUUGAUUAGUUAGGGGUGAAAUCCCGAGGCUCAACCUCGGAACUGCCUUUAAUACUGUCAAUCUCGAGACCGGAAGAGGUGAGUGGAACUCCUAGUGUAGAGGUGGAAUUCGUAGAUAUUAGGAAGAACACCAGUGGCGAAGGCGGCUCACUGGUCCGGUACUGACGCUGAGGUGCGAAAGCGUGGGGAGCGAACAGGAUUAGAAACCCCGGUAGUCC